This 802-nucleotide ribosomal RNA is filed under the name uncultured bacterium. Its description in RNAcentral is "bacterial SSU rRNA". It matches the Rfam family "Bacterial small subunit ribosomal RNA", at positions 1 to 829 of the family's 1533-position model. The record is from RNAcentral.
CGGGAAUUCGAUUAGAGUUUGAUUAUGGCUCAGAAUCAACGCUGGCGGCGCGCCUAACACAUGCAAGUCGAACGAGAAAGUGGAGCAAUCCAUGAGUACAGUGGCGUACGGGUGAGUAACACGUGGGUAAUCUACCUCUUAGUGAGGAAUAACCCUGGGAAACCGGGGCUAAUACCGCAUAAGCCUGAGAAGGGAAAGCAGAAAUGCGCUGAGAGAGGAGCCCGCGGCCGAUUAGCUAGUUGGUGAGGUAAGAGCCCACCAAGGCAGAGAUCGGUAGCCGGCCUGAGAGGGCACACGGCCACACUGGCACUGAAACACGGGCCAGACUCCUACGGGAGGCAGCAGUGGGGAAUCUUGCACAAUGGGGGAAACCCUGAUGCAGCGACGCCGCGUGAGCGAUGAAGCCCUUCGGGGUGUAAAGCUCUUUCGGCAGGGAAGAUAGUGACGGUACCUGCAGAAGCAGCUGCGGCUAACUACGUGCCAGCAGCCGCGGUAAUACGUAGGCAGCAAGCGUUGUUCGGAGUUACUGGGCGUAAAGGGUGUGUAGGCGGUUCUUUAAGUUUGUUGUGAAAUCUCCCGGCUUAACCGGGAGGGUGCGGCGAAUACUGAGGGACUAGAGUACGGGAGAGGAAAGUGGAAUUCCUGGUGUAGCGGUGAAAUGCGUAGAUAUCAGGANGAACACCGGUGGUGUAGACGGCUUUCUGGACCGUAACUGACGCUGAGACACGAAAGCGUGGGUAGCAAACAGGANNAGAUACCCUGGUAGUCCACGCCCUAAACGAUGCAUAUUUGGUGUGGGCAG